Molecule: long non-coding RNA, 13517 nt
Organism: Pyrgilauda ruficollis (rufous-necked snowfinch)
Lineage: Eukaryota; Metazoa; Chordata; Aves; Passeriformes; Passeridae
Exons: 6
Source: RefSeq, a predicted model, not a curated record
CAGUGAGGAAAGGAAACAAAAGCACGAUGGACUCUGAGGGGUCUCCAAUCCCCUCUGAUUUUUCCCUGAGGUGUUUGUUGUGAGCCAAGAGAACUCUGCAGGGAGGUGGGGGCUCAGGAGCGAGGCAUCAAAGCUGCUGCUCCCUAGUCACAGGCUGGGUUGUGGAAGGUGCUGGUGCUGCAGGCAGGAGCAGGGAUGUGAGCAGACCCUCCUGGCGCUGCAUUUGAGACUGUCAGUGCAAUAGUUCAGGAGAUGGGGUCCUUGCUGCUCCCAGCAGCCCCCGUGAUGUUGCGUGGAAGGUGUUGCUCAUCUGGUGGUGAUGGAGAGGAGCGGGAUGGAAGGCUGUGUUGAGUGCUGUGGGUUUGGCACAGUGCUUCAGUACCUGGGCUUUGCUGGCACAACCACCCAUUUCUCCGAGCCAUGCUGCUUUCCAUCCCACAUCCAUCUCUGGUGUCCCUGUGGAGCUGGUUUUCCCUUUCGUGUCUGCUUGCAUGCAGCAUUUUGGCAAAGAGGCAGCUUUAACUGGACAACUGCUUCCUCGUGGAGCUUGAUAUUCAACGGGCUCUGCUGCCAGGAGCUUUUAUGAGCUGUGGGAGGCAGCAAGGGGAAAAUGACUUUGAGACCCAAUAGAGCCUUCUGCUGGUGUGCCCAGCCAGAUGUGGGUGGUGAUACUACUGGGACACGAGCGGCUGCCUUGUUCCCUGCACAGCUCUGAGCACACAAACCCCUCUCUCAAUCCUGCCUGGCCCCUCUGAUUUGUGCCCCAGUGCUGCUUUGUGUCACAGAGCCGGGGGUGGCCUGACCGGCUCGGCCCGGCCGGUGCAGGGAGCAUGAGGCACCUGCAGAGCCCUCGGGGUCCUGGUCUCGCUGGUUUCCAGGGGGAUGCUCGGGCUUUCCCAGCGCAUCCCAUUAGAUGGCAAUGCAGCCUGCUCCUCUGAGCGGCCCCGCAGGAUGACGCCACUGAGAAAGGGGCUGCAGCCUCUGUGGGGUAGGCUGGGGUGGCCGAGGCUCUUCAGUGUGUGAAAAGGGCUCUCAGAUUUGUGCUUAUAACUCUUAUUUUGGCUGCUGACAUUAAGAAACUGGGAUUCCUGUCCAUCUGGCUUUGAGGUGCCCUCUAUCGUGUAGUAGUGGCUGUGGCCAUGCUUGGGCCAACUCUGUCCCUUGCCUGGGUUACACAGGUUCUGUUUGCAAGUGCUUUGUCCACCCUGUUGCUUUAUUCCGUGUCAUUUCCAAGCAGGAGAAAGCACCCAAGUGGCAUGAGGGCAAGGGGGACACUUGGCAUCUUCUCUGGGGUGAGCAGCGAGCAGGACAACUCCUGCUCAUCUGGCUGUCUGACAGAGGCAGCCUGAGCUCCAGGCAGGACAAGGCUGCUGCUCCCCGUGCUCCCAGCAGCCUUUCCCAGGCCUGCAGAGGAUGCAGACACCUGCACCGCCCUUGGCCACGGCGCUCCAGCUCUCACUCAGGAGCUGCGUGAGUCAGGAGCUCACCUGGGCAGUACUGGCCUGCAGCCAGGGGCUUCCCAGGGCCAGGCAGCAGCAGGGCUCCAGGCGCUGGGGGGGCCCUGGGCAUGGCUGGGGGAACAGGCCUGCCUCUCAAACGGGGCAUGAGUGCCCUGGCUUGGGUUAGGGAUGCACUGAGCAGCCCCGCGCCUGCUGGGAGCCCCCAGGCCCCGUGCUCCGGCCCCGUUGUGCUGAGCUGCGGAGGGUGGUGCAUCCCCAGCCUGCCUCUCCCGGGUUUAACUGGGACAGGAUGGUGCAUCCCCAGCCUGCCUCUCCUGGGUUUAACUGGGACAGGAUGGUGCACCCCUGCCUGCCUCUCCCGGGUUUAACUGGGACAGGAUGGUGCAUCCCCAGCCUGCCUCUCCCGGGUUUAACUGGGACAGGAUGGUGCAUCCCCAGCCUGCCUCUCCCGGGUUUAACUGGGACCUUACCUGGAGAUGAGAGCGCUCGGCUCCGGAUCUCGGAAUGGAGCAGCAUUCCACUACAGCCCAGCCAAGGGGAAUGAAGCAAUAUUAAAGUGCAAUAUUUCAUUGCUCUGUAAUUAACUUCAGCUGCUUUCAAGCUGCAACAAAUUACCCUCAAAACCCGUUUUUGUACUGAGGAGAACUUUGAACUGCGUUUGCAGCCCUUGUGCCUGGGAGGGAGGGGAGGCCGCUCCUGCUGUCUGUGGCUGCAGCUCCGUGUGUGGUUUGGGACCAGCCCUGGGCCGGCUGUGCCGGGUUGCCGUGUCAGCACAGGCAGGAGUGCUGGGGCUGGCAUCAACCCCGCCAGGGACUGGCAUCAACCCCGCCAGGGGCAGCCCCGGGUGUGGGAAACUACUGCAGCAUCCCGGGAAAGCCUCUGGCUCCACCUGGAGAGUCUUUGAUGGGAUGGAUCCUGGUGCACCCAAGGCUGUAGAUGCAUGCUGCCAUCCCAAGGUCUUCCCAAAGUACUGUGGGCAGAUUAAUCCAGGGCGUAAAACUUCAGCCAGCUUGUUGGAGAGAAAAUUCUGCUUAGCUUCUAGAAGGCAGCAGCCUCCUUCAGCAAAGACCUGAUGAUCUGAUGGUUUUUGGGGAGCCCCUGAGUGGCUCAAAACACAGAUCUGCUCCCUAAAUUCCUUGGAGAAUAUGCUUGUUUGUGUUUACUUUCCAUCUCCCAUCUCUAGCAGGAUCCAUGGAGAUGGGCCUGUGCAGCCCAGGCCUGGGAAGGUGGCAUAGGCUCCCACCACCCGUGGCCUGGCUGGCCUGGUCAUGGCCUGGCAAUUGCCAGGCAGUGGCUCUGCCUGGCCUGAUGGUGCCAAGCCCUUCCCAUCCUGCUCUAGAAGAGCAAAAGGACUCCAACAGCUUCUCUGGGAUGCCUCAACCAGGGGCAGCUUAACUGCCUUUGGUGAAUUUAUGAGCUCAUGAAGCCAGAGGAAGAUGGGAAGCAUUCCACGGGAGCCGAGGGCUGGGGAGCUGUGGCACCGCUGCCAUGCCUGCCACCAUCAGAGGUCUCAGAAUGCUCCUGUGCCCUGGGGAAGGACUGGCUGUCCUCUUGGAUGCCCUCAGGAGAGGAGGAGGGAACUGUUGCUGCUCUGGACCUCUCUGCCCACCCGUGUGCCCACAGAGGGGGUGGUCACAGGAGUUUGAAGAGCCGCUGUUUCUGUAGAUGAAGAGGUGAUAGGGGGUGUGAGUCAUUACUCUGGAUGUGUUAAAGCAUGAGGAGCGAACAAACCUUCAGCCCAAAUCUCCAGGGAGAAAGCCACUGGCCCAGACUCCAUUGUGGCACCCUGGGAUGGCUCAGUCCCAGCCUGGGUCCCCAGCAGCUCUGUCACACCUGUGGGUACCACCUGCACUGGGGUUCCAACCCCUGGAUAUGGCAUGGAGGAGUCACAAGGAGCUUGAUCCAUGGACGAGCCUUAAAAAAACGGGGGAAGCUUUCACCUCUGUUCCCAGUGAUGCCCAUGGAGCAGUGCUGGAGCUCAGCCUCGUGCCCUGCUGGGGCUGCAGGAGGAGAUGUGAAGCAGUGACACAUGACCGAGCUUUAAUUACCCUUAAUUACCCAAACCCAUCCUCCUAGGUGCUAAUCUGGGGCAGGCGCAUCCCACUGGGACAUGGGAGCAGGAAGACCUGGCAGGGCUAUGAUGGAGCUGUCCUUCCUGGGAAAGCCAUUUGGUCUGGAUCCCCCUGGGAUGGCUGCAGCACCAGCCUUAUCACCUUGAGCUGGGCCAAGUGGAGUAGGCUGAUGAUUAGAUUUAUCAUAAAGUGAUCUAAUGAGCAGCAAUAGAACCAAGUGCUUUCCAUUCAGUGACCACAUCCAAAUCUUAAUAAGAGCUGACAGCCUGACCCUGGGACCGUGCUCUGGCCAAAGGAAAUCAGCCUGAUAGUUCCCUGGAGAGAGCAGCCAUGGCUUUAAAGUGUCUUCUGAAAGCAUUUAUCUCACCAGCUUAAAAAACCAAAACACCAAAAAACCUGAGCUGCAGGGUUGGGUUAUGUGACCUUCUCACUCUCUUCCCCAUCUCUGCAGCUUGGAAAGCCUCAGCCUGGGAAUGUGCUGGGAUGGCUCAAUCCAGCAAGGAAAGCUCCAACAGCAUCCCAAAUCCUUCCCAGGCUGUGCUCUUGCAUCUGCAUCACCAGUACCCAAGGGGAGAAUUAACAUGCUCUGAGUGCUGAUAGAGAAACUUCAAUAAUUGAAGGUGUUUGUAGGCUUUUGUUGGCAUAUUUUUUGCUGGCAUAUUUUGGAAGUAAUGUUUUACUGUAGCAGCUAUUCCUCUUCUCUAAACCUUUCCCUCCCUCUGCAGUUGAGAAGGGAAGCAACCUGCUUUAUUCCAAGUUCCCAGGGCAAGUCUCCAUGCACAGAGAGGUUGUGGAAUCUCCAUCCCUGGAAGUGUCCAGGGCAGGUUGGACAGGGCUUGGAGCAUGCCAGGACAGUGGAGGGUGUUCCUGCCUAUUGCAGGGGGUGGGAUGAGGUGAGUUUUAAGGUCCCUUCCAACUCAACCCAUAUUCCAUAGUCUGAGCAGUGGAUGCAGCUCCUUGCAUGGGAGGUGCAGAGAUGAAGAGGAGGGUCAAGCCAGGUGCAAGGAAAAUCUCCCAGGAGUGGCUGGAAGGAGUGAAUCCUUGUGAUGAGAGGGCUGUUUGCCACUGUGGGUAGCAAAGGGGUUUUAUUGGCUCAGCAGCUGCUGCCAGGAACCUCAGGGAAAGCUGCAGGGUGUCCUGCAACCUUCAUCCAGGCAUCUCCCAAGGACCUGUUCCCAGCAAAGGUGUUCUGUCCUUAGGAAGUCUUCUGUCCUUCAGCAGCCUGAGUGAUUUCUGCUGCUUACACCCAGGGAGUUUUCCUCAUCUUUAACAUAAUUUAUUUUUUUGUUUGAACAAUAGCAAUACCCAGGGCUGGCUCAGCAGUUGUUUGAUCCCACAAGUCUCUGCCCUUGGCCACGUCAUAUGACACGGACUUCCUCGAGGCAAAUUGUGUGAAAAGAUGCUCUUUUUUUGUCCAUCACUUCUGGAUUUACUGUCCCUUCAUUGCCUCUGAAUGGCCCGUUGUUUGCAGAGCCUGAAUACGAGCUCUGUCUCAGAACAAGCAUGGCACCAGAGGACCCCAAGGAGGCUUUUCCCUCAAUGUGCUGAUUUUCAGAGGAGCCCUCUAAGGCAGGGCCAUUGCUCUUGCUUUGUGUGACACCCUUCCUCCAGGAGAUGGCCCAAGAGGAAGGUGGUGAUGGUGGCAGUCAGCAGACCCUGGGAGCAGGGAGGGAAGCCAGCCAGCUCCAGUGGGAAGAGCUCUGAACCCCUCUUUGUGCUGCUGGAGCAGUGACCCCAUCCAUCCUCUGCCCUUGCCUCAGUGCAAGGGCUGUGAAAGUGCCUGGGAAGCCCUGGCAGAGCAGGGUCUGGGAGUGGUGGGGCUGGAAUUGUGCUCGUUCUGUGCUCAUUCCCUCCUCAGCCCUUCCCGGGGCUGCUCUCUGCCCUUUGUGUUUCUUCAUGCUGGAUCUGUUCCCCAUCCCUGGAAUUGUCUGAAGGAGCAAGAGGUGCUUCCAGGUUUGGAGGUGUUUCUUACCUUGGUGAAAACAAACAGGGCUGAUUUGUUCCCUAGCUGCUUGUCCACAGGAGCCACAAAGCUUCACCUGUGCAGGGUGGGAGCUGGGAAUUACACUUCGUUUGACGUUUGAUCGAGUGCUCUCCUGCUCCAGCCUCAAAGCUCUCUUUGCUUUUCCACUCCAUUUUAAGUCCCUUCUCUUGAAAUUCCAGUCCUGCAUGAAGGCACAAACCCAGGACAGCUGAAGGCUUCCAAAUGCAAUUAUUUUCCAAAGCAUUUCAAUAAAUUAGCAGCUCGUUCCUUUGCCAGACAGCACUUCCCUUCCCAUUGACCUGCGUCUGUGCAGCUGCCAUGUGCCUUGGACCUUUCUCCUCUGGGAUGUCAGCUCAGGAGGACGCAGCCAGGCCCUUUCAGCUGUGAUUCAGACCUGGGCUGGGACUCUGGGGAGGUUGGCACCAGCAUCUGCAGAUAUAUAUAUUUUUUUAAUAGCCUUUUAUUUAUGAAGCUACUUUGGAGUCUGAGUCCCUUGCUUUGUUUGAUAUUUAUUGGUGCUUCACCCAUCUUGAACUGGGAGCCGUAAGCACUUUGAUAAAUGGAUUUGCCUUUCCUGGAACCGUGUCCCAACAUCAGCUCAUCAGCAUCCUCAGCCAAAGUGCCACUCCUGUAAAUCAAGGAUAGUGAGGAGAAAAACCCCAGGCAGGGCAGGAUGGCAAUCCAAGCCCCAGCUCCUCUCUUCCAAGGGGUUCAGUGCUUGGAUAAGGGAUCACUCCAAGUGACUGAGCUCUCUGUUUAGUUCAGGGAGGAAUUCCUUCCCAAUAUCACAUCUAUCCCUGCCCUCUGGCAGUGGGAGGCCAUUCCCCCUUGUCCUGUCACUCCAGGCCCUUGUCCAAAGUCCCUCUCCAGCUCUCCUGGAGCUCCUUUAGGUCUCUCUUUCCUGUCCUAUCACACCUCAAGCUAAAAGGAGUCAGGUGCACAAGGGACAAGGUCAGUGUAGGAAAGAGCCUGGAAAUACCAGCUAAAGGUGAGCUGCUGUCAUUGCAUGAUGAACCCUAUGGGCUGGGAUCAAGCUAGGAUUGUCCCUGAAAAUGCUUCUCUGGGGUAGGGAGAGGUGGCAUUUUAGCAAAGGCGGUUUUGGGAUCUAUAUUGAAUGUCAUGAUGUUGCUAUGGAGAAGCUGGAUGGAGGCCACCAGGAGAAAAGGAGGCUCAGGGGGGACCUUCUGGCUCUCCACAACUCCUGACAGGAGGGGGCAGCUGGAGGGGUGUCAGACUCUGCUCGAGGGAACAGGGACAGGAGGAGAGACAACAGCCUCAAGCUGUGCCAGGCGAGGUUUAGAUUGGAAAUGAGGGAAAAAUUCCUUCACCAAAAGGGUGGUCAGGCACUGGAUCAGGCUGGCCAGAGCCAUGGUGGAGUCCCCAUCCCUAGAAAUGUUUAAAAGAUGUGUAGAUGUGGCACUUGGGGACACGGUUUGGAGGUGGCCUUGCUGGUGCUGGAGUUGGGCUCAAGGAUCUUGGAGGUCUCCUGCAGCCCUAAUGAUCUGUGAUUCCAUGGAACAGCACAUGGCUGGAGAGGGAGCGUGGCCCCAGGGAGAUGUUCCAGGGAAGGUUCCCGCUUGCCCAGGUGGCUGGUGCUGGACACUGGGAUGGGCUGGAUGCCCAGGGCAAGGCCAUGUGUGUGAGGCCACCAGCACUGACAAGGAUCUGCAUCCACAGCUGUCCCCUCUGCACGGGGAGCUUUUCUUUUAAAAUAAUGACCAGGAAAAAAAUCCCUGUCACUUAACAAAAACGUUUCAGGCCUUCUGGGUUUUUCCCUGUGACUAAGUCUAAUGAGAAGAGACAGCAGAGGAUUUAUCAGCAUCUGCUCCCCAGUUUCCCUCUGUGCUGAUAGGAGAUCCAAGGCUGCUACUCCUGAGCAAGGACUUAAUGCAAUGUGACCACAGCCCUGACGGCAGAGCUGCAUCCUGACCCUUCCUGAGGUGUGGAGAGUGGGGGGAAAUAAAGCAGCAGGAUAAAUCAGGAUUCAGGAAAAGAUGUGAACCUUGGCAGCAUUGCCAUGGUAACGGAGGACCUGCCAGUGCCUGCUGCAGCCUGGCACAGGCAGCACAACACUGUGGGCACCGUGGCACACUGUGAUCCAGGAUGGAGAGGGCUGGUGCCAUGGAGAGGCUGUGCUUUCCCUUCUGGAAGUCAGCAGAGGUCUUGGGAAGAUGUUCUGGAAGCUGGUGGCAGGGUGAGAGAGAGGAAGCAGUGGGACACGAGAGUCUCCUGAGCAGGAUCCAGCCUCCCGUGCUCUCCAUGCCCGCAGUGGCAGGGCUGUCCCAGCUCAGCUGCUGCUGGGUGGGGCACACAGGCGGUGGGGCAGGUUAGUCUGCUGCUGGCAGCAGGGAUUCCCCUCUGGGAAAAACCACCGAGGAGGUUCCGGCUGUGUGAAUUCCCCUAAAGAGUGGAAACCACGCCUUUGUAUGUUGCUGAUCCCAACCAAACACGUCCAAUGUCCUGCAGCCUCCUCUCGGCCAGCACCCAGAGCAUCCCAACCCCCUUUUCCCAGUUGCCUGCUUGCCAGGCUUUCCUCUGAAGGCAGGGCCAGGCACAGAAAACCCUGUCCCAGAGGGGCCACGCAGUGCCCCAAUUCCUGCCCUGCUGGUGGCUGUCCAGGGUUUGGCUCCCAGCCGGCUCCCAGGGCUUGCUCCAGCCCCCGAUUGCCUUCCUGUGGCCGAGCUGUGACUCCAGCAGAGAGAGGAACAGGAGGGACUGGGUCCCCUGGGGCAGCACCAGCGGGAUGGGGACGUUUGGGAGGGGAUAUCCCUGCAAUGGGGGCAGCGUGGGCAGCAGUGUUGGACGGGAUCGAGCUUGCUGCACUCUGAGCGAGGCUGGGAGCAGUGGUUGAUUAACGAGGCUGUGCUGUAAUUACUGCCGGCGUGUUUGCCCCCAGCCCUGCUGUGCUGUAGGGGGAGAACGUGUCCUUGCAGCCGCUGCCAUCCUUCCCCGUGCAGCCAUGUGAGAGGCAACGCAGGCAAGAGGAGCUAAAAAUAAACCUGGGUAAAAAUAGUUCCACGUGUGCUCGCUUUUGAGGGGAAAUGAGGGGAAUUUUCAUCUGAAGGAAAAGGAAAAAAAAAAAAAAAAACAAAAAAAAGGAAACUGAAAUUUAUUUUCCCAGGUCACCCUCUAGACAACAGCACCUGUGUCCAGGUGGGGGAGAAGUGGAUCAGGGAUGUGUCGGGGUCGGGACUCCAUCUCAGCCUGUGCUAAUCCACAAAAUGUGUCAGUGCACCUCUCCCCUCUGCCUUGCUGCCUCCCUCUCCUGCAAUUUCUCUUAGCAGAGGGAAUUUCUCUCCUUUCUGCCCAGCUCAGCUCGCGGUACUUCAGCAAUGCCUCAGGGCUGACUUCUGACCAGGGAACAGAAGGAUUCAUCCUUAUUGCACCAGUGGGGGAAAAGUGUUAAUGGGAUUAUGAUGAAAACCCAACUCCGCUGAAAUUUGUCUGUGCCAUGGGAUGUGUCGGCUUCUCCCGGGCUGCUGGGGCUGAGAGUGGACAUCCUUUGAGAGCUUAGUCCAAGGAAAGCUGCUCCUAUCCAUGGCAGGAGGCAGGGACAGGCGGAUCCAGACCCUGCCUGAAAAGGGAGGGCUCCUGGAUCUCCUUUGUCAUAGAAACAAAGAACCUCUGAAUGGUUUGCAUUGGGAAGGACCUUAAAGCUCAUCUCAUUCCACCCUUGCCAUGGGCAGGGACAUCUUCCACUGUCCCAAGGUGCUCCAAGCCCAAAUGUCCAGCCUGGCCUUGGACACUUUCAGGGAUCCAGGGGCAGCCACAGCUUCUCUGGGCACCCUGUUCCAGGGCCUGCCCACACUCAAGGGAGGAAUUUCUUCCCAAAACCCAUCGUGGCUCCUAAUUGCUGGCAAAACAUCUGAGCUCAGUAAAAGCAAUUGUUUAAGCUGAAACAGAAGAAAAUAAAUGGUCAUUACAACACAUUCCAUGCUGGCACGUGCUGGGGAUGUUCUUAAUUAGUGGCGUGGUGGCAAGGAAAAGGAAAGGGGAAUGUUAAAGCAAGACCGUGGAGAGAUGCAGAGGAGGAGCCCCGCCAGGGAAGAUGCCCACAAAGCCUCUUCAACCACACAUCCUCCGAACUGUUCCCGGGACAGGACGGUGGAGGCAAAGCCGGCUUAGCCCUGGUCUGAGCUGCGGCAGGACGGGAUGCUUUGGUGCCAGCCUGGGAACGCGGGGUGAGGAAAGGACGGGAGCGGGCAGCCGCGAUGGAAGGGAAGCGCUGAUGGAUCUGCCGGCUCCCCUGCCGAAUGAGAGUUUCUGCUCUUGGAACUGUUUGAACUGCCUGACCCCUCCUGAGUUUUGCGGGUAUCCAAGCUGAGGAAGCCAUCCUGAAGCUAUAAGGAAGGUUUGGCUUCAGGAGAGCCUUCAGCCAAGUCACGACUUGCUGAACUGCUGCAGGACAUGGUCUGAUGACAGCCAUGUGGCACUGUGGCAUCUAACCCCCACCAUUCUGGAGAUUCAGCAGGAGAAGCCCCAAGGAGAUGACAAACAAUCAAACAAACAAACAAAGUCCAGCUGCUCUGUUGGUGUGAAUGGAUUGGCUGGAGCCAGGUGGAUUCCUGCCAGCAAUGAUUUCACUGGUAAAACCCCAAAGCCCCUCAUUUUGAAAAGACCGUAAGCUGAGACUGGAGACGGCAAACAAAAUUUCCAGCAGAGGAAAACCACUGAAACAGAAAUACAAGACCUGAUUGGAACCUGGGAGGAGAAACCUGAGGUAGCUGAGGGCCUGGACACACGGGAGCAUCCCAAACAAACACUCGUCAGUCCCUUGAGGUGUCUGUUACCCCAACAAGUGGCAGUCCUCGUGAAGCUGGUUCAGAACAAAGCUGCAGAGCAGGUGUUGGAAGGGUCAGGCCAAGGAAGGAAAGGAAAAGCUGAAGUGCCUGAGGUGCAGGGAAGCAUUUUACUCUAUUCCCUGACUUUGCUUCCCCACUGCAGGCAUCACUGGAUAUGAUCCUUCUGGAGGUGCUGCCAGACCAUUGAGUGCUCCAUCCCUGCCCUCCAGACACCCUCUUCCUGGAGGAAAGUUGGCAACUUUGAGUUUAUUCCAUCUUUGCACCCAUGCCAAAACCUAUUUAAUAUCAGGUUUGCUGUGGGUUUGUUUGGGUUUGGUCCCACAAAUGCCUCUGGGGCAGGUCAGUGCAUCUCCCAAGCCACCCCUUGGCUGUGCCUUUGGAGUUUGCAAAAUCCAAGGAGACCUCUGUUGUUCUGCUUGAAUAUCCCUCCCCAUCUCAGUCCCAAAGGGUGGGAAGCAUCAGGGAAUAUUAUUGAUAAACAAUAGAUGUCUGGUGGAGACGCUGGUGAUUUUCCUAGUACAAAAGGCUUCUGCAUCCUCUGUGAUAAUUCCCCUUUUUUUUCCUCCUUGCUGGCUUUGUGGUUUUGUGAUUUAUUUGUGGGCUGGCAGGCGUCCACAGCCCUGCAGGAAAUGGAUGUCUGCUCUUGUGUUUGGGGGGGCCAUAUAAACGUGUAAUUUUCCCACUACAUCAAUGACAGACGUUUCUCCUUGGCUGGAGCAGCUCCAUGGUUUCUGUGCCCUUUUGGUUUGUUCCCCCCAGCCCAGGCUGAGAGUAUUUAUAGGGAACCCCAGUUCUGACAUCCUCAGCUGAGCUGGGGGAAAGUUAAAGAACUUGGCCACAAAAACUGUAGAGGGGAAACUCACUGGCCUUUUUUUACCUGAUAGUAACUCCAGGACAGCAGCACGGCCAAGUUUUCCCUGGCUAUUCCUCCUGCUGACAUUUUCCUCAAGGAUAGAAGUGGUUUGCCCUAAGAAAACAACCCUCUUGCUAUGGAAAAGAAAUUGUAGGGCAAUUUACUUUGGAAUAGCUGUGCUACCUAAUUCCUGGCUCCUGGAGAGAGACCCAGCUGGACUUGGAGCAAAGAAAGGAAACCCAAGGCAAAAUUCAGUGUGGCUGAAUCAGGUUUUCUUGGAGGAAAGGCUGGACAAGCCUCUGUGAGGCCCUGGCACAGGGUGGCCAGAGAAGCUGUGACUGCCCCUGGAUCCCUGCAAGUGUCCCAGGCCACGCUGGAUGGGGCUUGGAGCAGCCUGGGAUAGUGGAAGGUGUCCCUGGAAUGUCAGAGGGUGAUACAGGAUGAGCUUUGAGGCCCUUUCAACCCAAACCUGUCUGGGAUUCUAUGGUCUGGGACAGCAGUGGAGUCAAAAAUCAUAAUGUCCAGCAGAUUGAAUGUACCUAUGGUGUCCCUCGGCUUGUAAUGUGGGUUCUCCAUGGAUUCCUGAUGAAACAGGAAUGUUCUGCUAGGAUUUUUCUCAUUUUUAUUCUGCCUGAAGUGAGGGUAAAGGAUGAGGGAUGUCUGCAAGGACAGGACAAAAACCUGAGCCAGUCUGGUGGCAUGAAACCAGGAGGGAGGUGAGAAUCUGUGAUGAGGGACAUCCAGGGAUGCAGAAUUCUGGGAUGUCACCUCCUGUUUGGAGUCAUUACCUGGCUGUGCUGCUGCUCUGGCUCUGCUGCGAUGCAUCUCAUCCUUUUUGGGGCCAGGAAUGUUCCACCUACAUAGUUUCUCCCAGGGGUCCCAGCAAACCUUUGAGAUAAAUCCGUCCAGAUCCACAUAAAAUUAAGCAUCUUACUGUGUUUGUACUGCCUCAUCCCCUGUAAGUCUUGAGCACCUUCCAUGACCCCUCUCACGUUUCACUUUCAGAGCGCAGCCCACGUGUGGGCCAUGAGCUCCAUGGGUGGGUGUGGGCUUGUGCAGGGCUGUUGUUGCAUUCCUGUGGCUGAUGGCAGCAGGUUGGGGCUGGGACAGAGCUGUCAGGAGCCGGGUUUCCUUGGGAAAGCACCCACCUGACCAUGAGCACGGCAUGGCUGGGCCUGGACAUGCAGACUGCUCUUACCUCUGCACCUGGUCUGGCCUUACUGAGUGGUGGAAACUCUCCUGGUGAGAGAAGGAUGCCCUGGUGAAAUCUAUUUCAUGGAAUCCCAGAAUGGUUUGGGGUGGAAGGGAUCUUGAAUUCAUCCAGUUCCACGUCCCUGCCAUGGGCAGGGACACAUUCCACUAUCCCAGGCUGCUCCAAGCCCCAGUGUCCAGCCUGGCCUUGGGCACUGCCAGGGAUCCAGGGGCAGCCACAGCUGCUCUGGGCACCCUGGGCCAGGGCCUUACUGUCCUCAUACUAAAGAAUUUCCUUCUAAAUCAUCUUCCCAUGAUCUGAGUUUAGGCUUUAAACACAAACACCAUUAGCAGCAACAGGCUCCGUGCACGUCACUCCCUGUCCUGCUCUAAAAGCAGCAGCCCCAGCAGCAAACAUCCCUCCCUCCAUCCUCCCGGCACUGAGCCAGAGGAGCUGCAACCCCUGCCCUCACACCGUGGCACAGAGUGUAAAUCUCAUCCACUCCCUUUUCCAUUUGGCCACUUUGGGAGUUUAUUCACCAUUAAAGCCUUUUCUUUCACACACUUUUGCAGAAGUAGGGAUUUAUUUGGGCACGAAUUUGCUGCCCUUGUCGGUGACAAGGAGGUGCUUCUGUGGUGCUGACACAGCCUCAGCUGCAGAAACACCAUUCUGAGCACUGCAGGGGGAAAAGGGACUCAUGGCAGGUGUAAAAGUGGGCCAGGUAUGACAAAAAAUAGAGGAGGACAAGUGUGCUCUGCUUCCAGAGGCCGGGGGAAGGCGCCGAGCAGGAACUGUACAGGACAUCACGGGUGGUGGAGGGAGCCAGAGAAACAUCCAGUGUUUUGUCCUCUCUGCAGGGAGCUCAUGGCCAUAGGAUUGGCCAGGAACUGGGUCAGGAUGAGGAGGGAUGAAGCAAACCGAACUGAAGGCCUUCAGUGAGGCCCCUUCAGCCCCUGCCAAGCCUGUGCCAAGGGGAGGCAACGUCCACGUGGCCACCACGGGUGGGAGAUGAGUCAAGAGAGUCAAGAGAGCCCCGGCUGCUGCUGGUGUUUGGUCACAAUUGCUCUGGGCACCCUGUGCCAGGGCCUCCCCACCAUCCCAGGGAACAAUUCCUUCCCAAUAUCCCAUCUAUCCCUGCCCCCUGGCAGUGGGAA